Molecule: ribosomal RNA, 301 nt
Filed under: uncultured bacterium
Lineage: Bacteria
Description: partial 16S ribosomal RNA
Rfam family: Bacterial small subunit ribosomal RNA
Source: RNAcentral
CAGUAGCCGCGGUAAUACGGAGGGUGCAAGCGUUACUCGGAAUCACUGGGCGUAAAGGACGCGUAGGCGGAUUAUCAAGUCUCUUGUGAAAUCUAACGACUUAACCGUUAAACUGCUUGGGAAACUGAUAAUCUAGAGUAAGGGAGAGGCAGAUGGAAUUCUUGGUGUAGGGGUAAAAUCCGUAGAGAUCAAGAAGAAUACCCAUUGCGAAAGCGAUCUGCUGGAACUUAACUGACGCUAAUGCGUGAAAGCGUGGGGAGCAAACAGGAUUAGAUACCUGCGUAGUCCCUGUCUCUUAUAC